This 85-nucleotide transfer RNA is filed under the name Felis catus (domestic cat). It matches the Rfam family "tRNA". From Rfam's summary of the family: Transfer RNA (tRNA) molecules are approximately 80 nucleotides in length. The record is from Rfam by way of RNAcentral. Lineage: Eukaryota; Metazoa; Chordata; Mammalia; Carnivora; Felidae.
GCCUGGGUGGCUCAGUCGGUUGAGCGUCUGACUUUGGCUCAGGGCAUGAUCUCACAGCUCGUGAGUUCGAGUCCUGCGUCGGGCU